RNAcentral lists this non-coding RNA (21 nucleotides) under Caenorhabditis elegans. The record is from RNAcentral. Lineage: Eukaryota; Metazoa; Nematoda; Chromadorea; Rhabditida; Rhabditidae.
UAUUGUCAAUUCAGGUAAUUC